ACAUGCUUAUUUCAUUAUUAUUAUCCAAAAUUAUGGUAGGGUCACAUGAAAUACACACCCGAGCCCCUUUAAUCUAAUUGACAUAGUUCAACAAUCCAAUUUCUAUACUGUGACAUAAUCACAUUCAGCUAUAACUAAUUCGAGUAAACACGAAUAUAUAACCUAGCAAGCAAAUUCAAAACUACGGAGAAUAAUUACAGAAACAACAGGGUGGCAUCACCAAAAAAAUAAUUAAUUGCAUAAAACGAGUAAAGGAUGAAAGAGUCGAACCUCAAUAUAGUCGGGAAAUUGAUUGUUUCACUACUUUGAACUCGAGAUGUAACGAAUCGCAGACGGGAACCCAAAUUGGCACCAAAAAUCUAAAACCGGCAAUGAACUCGAAUCAACCUCGGCUAAACACCGUUCCUAUACUCGAAUAACCAAAAAUCAGAACCAAAUGAUGAAGCAGAAACAUCUUCGUCGACAGAUUCAACCUUCAAACGGAACUCCGAAUCAAAUAUUUCAAACCAACUCCAUCGUCGAAAUCAAAUUUAACAGAAGAAACCCAAUGUGUUUUUUUUUUUGUAUUUUUUUUUUGGAUUUUAAAAUCUCAUAGUACUAAUUGUUAUAUUUAAACUAAGAACUAAAUAUGAAACAGAAUGUUCGAAAAUCCCAAAAAAGAACCAAAACAAAACAAAAAACGUUUUCCUCCUUCUUCAAAUUUAAAAAUGAUUUGCUAUUGUUCUCCAAAUUUUCCCUUAAUCAUGAUAUCUCUACAAGGUUUUGAAGGUUUUUAACUUACUUCAGCAUCCAACGAUCAAUGUUCUGCAAGCUGACUUUUGACCGGGGAAAUGGACAACAACAAGAAACUAAACCGGAACCAAUAUAUGGUAACAAGAAAAUGGGACGACGACAUCGACCACUUCUCAAACCUCAAUGAUUAGAUUACUUUGAAUAUUCGAACAACCAAACAUAUACAAGGCUUCAAAUCCAACAUCCAGUCGAGAAAAUAGCAACAAUUCAAACCCGGAAUCGCAAAACUCGACUCGAAAUCGCACUCGAAACCACUCCGGACAGCGGCGAUUUCAAUAACCUCUGCUUGACUCCAUAGUUUAAGCUUGUCUCGUUCUCCUCACUGUUUUCAGAGAUCCUCCUCUAUUUUUCUGUUGUGUGUGUGUGUGAUGGCGUGAGCUGCUAUGGAGGGUCGUCGUUGUGGAGGAGAAGGGGAUGGUUUUUGGGUGAGUUUGGUGAAGGGUCGUGUGAAGACGAUGAGGUCAGGGGGUGGGGUAUGGUUUGGUUUUUUCGUUCUUUUCGCUGAAGAAGUUUCAGAACGAGGGGGGUUUGAAGAAGAAGACACCGGGGGGG
Molecule: long non-coding RNA, 1344 nt
Filed under: Nicotiana tabacum (common tobacco)
Lineage: Eukaryota; Viridiplantae; Streptophyta; Magnoliopsida; Solanales; Solanaceae
Description: long non-coding RNA (NTAB_LNC010240)
Source: RNAcentral